This 253-nucleotide ribosomal RNA is filed under the name uncultured bacterium. RNAcentral describes it as "partial 16S ribosomal RNA". It matches the Rfam family "Bacterial small subunit ribosomal RNA", at positions 524 to 776 of the family's 1533-position model. The record is from RNAcentral.
UACAGAGGUGGCAAGCGUUGUUCGGAAUUACUGGGCGUAAAGGGCUCGUAGGCUGCCAACUAAGUCGGACGUGAAAUCCCCCGGCUCAACCGGGGAACGGGCGCGGAUACGACCUUCCUUGAGGGGCGUAGGGGGACCUGGAACUUCCGGUGGAGCGGUGAAAUGCGUUGAGAUCGGAAGGAACGCCCGUGGCGAAAGCGAGGUCCUGGACGCCUACUGACGCUGAGACGCGAAAGCCAGGGGAGCGAACGGG